GCGAGGGUUCGCGUAAAGGCGUCGAGGCGCCGCGCUUCAGGCGCGGCGCCGUUUUUUCACCGGUUCUAGUUCAUGCUCAGUUUCGCGCU
Molecule: transfer RNA, 89 nt
Filed under: Caballeronia fortuita
Lineage: Bacteria; Pseudomonadati; Pseudomonadota; Betaproteobacteria; Burkholderiales; Burkholderiaceae
Description: tRNA-Sec
Source: RNAcentral